AUUGAACGCUGGCGGCAUGCCUUACACAUGCAAGUCGAACGGCAGCACGGGAGCAAUCCUGGUGGCGAGUGGCGAACGGGUGAGUAAUAUAUCGGAACGUGCCCAGUCGUGGGGGAUAACGCAGCGAAAGUUGUGCUAAUACCGCAUACGAUCUAUGGAUGAAAGCGGGGGAUCGCAAGACCUCGCGCGAUUGGAGCGGCCGAUAUCAGAUUAGGUUGUUGGUGAGGUAAAAGCUCACCAAGCCUGCGAUCUGUAGCUGGUCUGAGAGGACGACCAGCCACACUGGAACUGAGACACGGUCCAGACUCCUACGGGAGGCAGCAGUGGGGAAUUUGGACAAUGGACGCAAGUCUGAUCCAGCAAUGCCGCGUGCAGGACGAAGGCCUUCGGGUUGUAAACUGCUUUGUACAGAACGAAAAGUACUUUAAUAACACUAGAGGCUCAUGACGGUACUGUAAGAAUAAGCACCGGCUAACC
This 477-nucleotide ribosomal RNA is filed under the name uncultured bacterium. RNAcentral's name for it is "bacterial SSU rRNA". It matches the Rfam family "Bacterial small subunit ribosomal RNA", at positions 30 to 502 of the family's 1533-position model. The record is from RNAcentral.